RNAcentral lists this ribosomal RNA (439 nucleotides) under uncultured bacterium. RNAcentral's name for it is "partial 16S ribosomal RNA". It matches the Rfam family "Bacterial small subunit ribosomal RNA", at positions 338 to 795 of the family's 1533-position model. The record is from RNAcentral.
CCUACGGGAGGCAGCAGUGGGGAAUAUUGCGCAAUGGGCGAAAGCCUGACGCAGCGACGCCGCGUGAGGGAUGAAGGUCUUCGGAUCGUAAACCACUGUCCCCAGGGACGAAGAUGACGGUAACUGGGGAGGAAGCUCCGGCUAACUACGUGCCAGCAGCCGCGGUCAUACGUAGGGAGCGAGCGUUGUCCGGAAUUACUGGGUGUAAAGGGAGCGUAGGCGGGGAUGCAAGUUGGGUGUAAAAACUACCGGCUCAACCGGUAGUCGCAUUCGACACUGCAGCUCUUGAGUGAAGUAGAGGCAGGCGGAAGUCCUGGUGGAGCGGUGAAAUGCGUAGAGAUAAGGAGGAACACCAGUGGCGAAGGCGGCCUGCUGGGCUUUUACUGACGCUGAGGCUCGAAAGUGUGGGGAGCAAACAGGAUUAGAUACCCGAGUAGUC